AGAGUUUGAUCCUGGCUCAGGAUGAACGCUGGCGGCGUGCCUAAUACAUGCAAGUCGAGCGAACCACUUCGGUGGUGAGCGGCGAACGGGUGAGUAACACGUAGGUGAUCUGCCCAUCAGACGGGGACAACGAUUGGAAACGAUCGCUAAUACCGGAUAGGACGAAAGUUUAAAGGUGCUCCUGGCACCGCUGAUGGAUGAGCCUGCGGCGCAUUAGCUAGUUGGUAGGGUAAAGGCCUACCAAGGCGACGAUGCGUAGCCGACCUGAGAGGGUGAACGGCCACACUGGGACUGAGACACGGCCCAGACUCCUACGGGAGGCAGCAGUAGGGAAUCUUCGGCAAUGGGCGAAAGCCUGACCGAGCAACGCCGCGUGAAUGAUGAAGGCCUUCGGGUUGUAAAAUUCUGUUAUAAGGGAAGAACGACUUUAGUAGGAAAUGGCUAGAGUGUGACGGUACCUUAUGAGAAAGCCACGGCUAACUACGUGCCAGCAGCCGCGGUAAUACGUAGGUGGCGAGCGUUAUCCGGAAUUAUUGGGCGUAAAGAGCGCGCAGGUGGUUGAUUAAGUCUGAUGUGAAAGCCCACGGCUUAACCGUGGAGGGUCAUUGGAAACUGGUCAACUUGAGUGCAGAAGAGGGAAGUGGAAUUCCAUGUGUAGCGGUGAAAUGCGUAGAGAUAUGGAGGAACACCAGUGGCGAAAGCGGCUUCCUGGUCUGUAACUGACACUGAGGCGCGAAAGCGUGGGGAGCAAACAGGAUUAGAUACCCUGGUAGUCCACGCCGUAAACGAUGAGUGCUAAGUGUUGGGGGUCGAACCUCAGUGCUGAAGUUAACGCAUUAAGCACUCCGCCUGGGGAGUACGGUCGCAAGACUGAAACUCAAAGGAAUUGACGG
Molecule: ribosomal RNA, 893 nt
Filed under: uncultured bacterium
Lineage: Bacteria
Description: bacterial SSU rRNA
Rfam family: Bacterial small subunit ribosomal RNA
Source: RNAcentral